UGGACAGAUUAUUGUAUUCAAUUGUAUUCACGGCAUGAAAUAGGGGAUUAUACUGUUUUUAAAACGGAAAGUGAAUCAAUUAACAUAAUAGACUCCU
Nicotiana sylvestris (wood tobacco) is the source of this 97-nucleotide non-coding RNA. NCBI's taxonomy places the organism in Eukaryota, Viridiplantae, Streptophyta, Magnoliopsida, Solanales, Solanaceae. The record is from Rfam.